GGGCCCGCACAAGCGGAGGAACAUGUGGUUUAAUUCGAUGAUACGCGAGGAACCUUACCUGGGCUUGAAUGCAGGUUGACAGACUGGGAAACUGGUUCUUCUUCGGACAACUUGCAAGGUGCUGCAUGGUUGUCGUCAGCUCGUGCCGUGAGGUGUAGGGUUAAGUCCCAUAACGAGCGCAACCCUUAUUGUUAGUUGCCAGCGGGUAAUGCCGGGGACUCUAGCGAAACUGCCGGUGUAAACCGUGAGGAAGGAGGGGAUGACGUCAAAUCAGCACGGCCCUUAUGUCCAGGGCGACACACGUGUUACAAUGGCCGGUACAAAGGGCAGCUACCUGGUGACAGGAUGCUAAUCUCCAAAACCGGUCUCAGUUCGGAUCGAAGUCUGCAACUCGACUUCGUGAAGCCGGAUUCGCUAGUAAUCGCGCAUCAGCCACGGCGCGGUGAAUACGUUCCCGGGCCUU
Molecule: ribosomal RNA, 463 nt
Filed under: uncultured bacterium
Lineage: Bacteria
Description: bacterial SSU rRNA
Rfam family: Bacterial small subunit ribosomal RNA
Source: RNAcentral